Globicatella sp. HMSC072A10 is the source of this 72-nucleotide non-coding RNA. The record is from Rfam. Lineage: Bacteria; Bacillati; Bacillota; Bacilli; Lactobacillales; Aerococcaceae.
UGGGGUAUAGCCAAGCGGUAAGGCAACGGACUUUGACUCCGUCAUUCGUUGGUUCGAAUCCAGCUACCCCAG